AUGACUUCUCAUGUCAUCUCACGAUAAUAAAUAAACACCUCAUUGCAUUUGUGAUUUAAUGGAAAAAACAUUACACACUUCUGUUUUUUUGACAUUUAGUAAAUAUUGGUAAAGUUUGGAACAAAUGACCAAUGGAAAAGUGACUAGUUUGCAUGU
Sphaeramia orbicularis (orbiculate cardinalfish) is the source of this 156-nucleotide long non-coding RNA. RefSeq lists it as uncharacterized. Lineage: Eukaryota; Metazoa; Chordata; Actinopteri; Kurtiformes; Apogonidae. The transcript is spliced from 3 exons. The record is from RefSeq and is a predicted model, not a curated record.